CAACUUUUGUCCCACAGACCUGGAGGCCACUUGAGUCUCCGCCGCCGGCUCCCCUCUCUCACCCUCCCCCACUGCUUUCCAUCUCCCCUCUCCUCACUACCUCCCUCGACUGGGGGGCGGAAGGGGGGGGCCUCUCUUCUCCCUAGGGCCUUCGCAGGCACCUUCUGGCCCAGCCAUCCCUAAGCUCCAAUUGAGGGCUUCUGAGGACCGAGGUCAGAGUCUGCGGCCCUGGACCUUCUUUCCGCAAAUGCUCCUCCCUUGGAAUCGCCUGCACCCACCGGGAGGACAGCGGAAGAGAGAAGCCAGGAUCCAUAAGGCAGUGUGUGUGGCAACAAAGAGAAGCUACCACAAAUGCACGCAGAUACAUACAUAUGCUGGGACUUGCUCUACCGGGUUGCUGCGUUCCCCUGCCUCUGCCUCACUGGGUAGAAUUCUGCUGGCCCCAGAGUAGCUACAGGAUUCCACAGCUCCAUUCUGAUCUUGCCUCUACCCUGCUCACAAGAAGUCUCCAGUCCCCAACUGGAUUAGGGGAGUAUUUCUGUCUGGCUCACCCCAAAGCCUUUUUUAUGUUCCUAGAGAUACCUGCAUCUGUGUUUCAAAUGUCUCCAAGUUCCUGUUUGUGAUGUUGCUAUCUCUGCCUAAAAAAAUAAAAUAAAAAGCUUUGUGCACUGGAGGCAAACUCCAA
RNAcentral lists this long non-coding RNA (685 nucleotides) under Ictidomys tridecemlineatus (thirteen-lined ground squirrel). RNAcentral's name for it is "lncRNA (ENSSTOG00000034741.1)". The record is from RNAcentral. Lineage: Eukaryota; Metazoa; Chordata; Mammalia; Rodentia; Sciuridae.